Molecule: ribosomal RNA, 442 nt
Filed under: uncultured bacterium
Lineage: Bacteria
Description: partial 16S ribosomal RNA
Rfam family: Bacterial small subunit ribosomal RNA
Source: RNAcentral
CCUACGGGUGGCAGCAGUCGAGAAUCAUUCACAAUGGGGGAAACCCUGAUGGUGCGACGCCGCGUGAAGGAAGAAGGCUUUCGGGUUGUAAACUUCUUUUGUCAGGGAAGAGUAGAAGACGGUACCUGACGAAUAAGCCACGGCUAACUACGUGCCAGCAGCCGCGGUAAUACGUAGGUGGCAAGCGUUGUCCGGAUUUACUGGGUGUAAAGGGCGUGUAGCCGGGUUGACAAGUCAGAUGUGAAAUCCUGCGGCUUAACCGCAGAACUGCAUUUGAAACUGUUGAUCUUGAGUACUGGAGAGGCAGACGGAAUUCCUAGUGUAGCGGUGAAAUGCGUAGAUAUUAGGAGGAACACCAGUGGCGAAGGCGGUCUGCUGGACAGCAACUGACGGUGAGGCGCGAAAGCGUGGGGAGCAAACAGGAUUAGAUACCCCAGUAGUC